GACGAACGCUGGCGGCGUGCCUAAUACAUGCAAGUCGAACGCUGAAGGAGGAGCUUGCUUCUCUGGAUGAGUUGCGAACGGGUGAGUAACGCGUAGGUAACCUGCCUGGUAGCGGGGGAUAACUAUUGGAAACGAUAGCUAAUACCGCAUAAGAGUAGAUGUUGCAUGACAUUUGCUUAAAAGGUGCAAUUGCAUCACUACCAGAUGGACCUGCGUUGUAUUAGCUAGUUGGUGGGGUAACGGCUCACCAAGGCGACGAUACAUAGCCGACCUGAGAGGGGGAGCGGCCACACUGGGACUGAGACACGGCCCAGACUCCUACGGGAGGCAGCAGUAGGGAAUCUUCGGCAAUGGACGGAAGUCUGACCGAGCAACGCCGCGUGAGGGAAGAAGGUUGUCGGAUCGUAAAGCUCGGUUGUAAGAGAAGAACGAGUGUGAGAGUGGAAAGUUCACACUGUGACGGUAUCUUACCAGAAAGGGACGGCUAACUACGUG
This 495-nucleotide ribosomal RNA is filed under the name uncultured bacterium. Its description in RNAcentral is "partial 16S ribosomal RNA". It matches the Rfam family "Bacterial small subunit ribosomal RNA", at positions 28 to 507 of the family's 1533-position model. The record is from RNAcentral.